Molecule: ribosomal RNA, 465 nt
Filed under: Vreelandella stevensii
Lineage: Bacteria; Pseudomonadati; Pseudomonadota; Gammaproteobacteria; Oceanospirillales; Halomonadaceae
Description: partial 16S ribosomal RNA
Rfam family: Bacterial small subunit ribosomal RNA
Source: RNAcentral
CCUACGGGAGGCAGCAGUGGGGAAUAUUGGACAAUGGGGGGAACCCUGAUCCAGCCAUGCCGCGUGUGUGAAGAAGGCCCUCGGGUUGUAAAGCACUUUCAGUGAGGAAGAACGCCUGGUGGUUAAUACCCAUCAGGAAAGACAUCACUCACAGAAGAAGCACCGGCUAACUCCGUGCCAGCAGCCGCGGUAAUACGGAGGGUGCGAGCGUUAAUCGGAAUUACUGGGCGUAAAGCGCGCGUAGGUGGCUUGAUAAGCCGGUUGUGAAAGCCCCGGGCUCAACCUGGGAACGGCAUCCGGAACUGGCAAGCUAGAGUGCAGGAGAGGAAGGUAGAAUUCCCGGUGUAGCGGUGAAAUGCGUAGAGAUCGGGAGGAAUACCAGUGGCGAAGGCGGCCUUCUGGACUGACACUGACGCUGAGGUGCGAAAGCGUGGGUAGCAAACAGGAUUAGAUACCCUUGUAGUC